UUGUGAACCUGUUCAGAGUUCACAUAAAAACUGAGUGUGACUAAACAUCACAGCACAGUCACACUUCCUCCGUUAAAGAGGAUCAAACAGUGGCAGAUGUGUGAGGAACGUUUCAUGAUGUUGGUACCGACCUGCAGCAGUCUGAUGAAGACGCCCACAUACAGUUAGUCUGAUGUGAUAAACACGCUAACAAACAAAGAGCAGUUGCUCUGUGAUGAAGAGGAAACCUCAGAGACUGGAAUGAAUCAAAGUUGCACUUACUCAGCUUCUUCACAUGAACUUCUUCACUCUGCAACUCUCUGCUGUUUGGACCAGGUCUGUGUAGAAACAGAGAAAAUCCUCUUCUUCUUCUCCGUCAUCAGUCCUCUGUGUCUGUAGGCACAUUAAACACUUCACACCAUCAAAGAGUCUGAAGGUCUACCUCACAGAUCAAAGAUCAGAUGCAAUGCUCUGAUAUAACACCCACACUGUAGAUAGCAACUUGCUAUUACAUUUCAAAACUGUAUAGCCUGACUGUGGACAUCUGCAGCUCACAGGUCAAAGCUCAGCUGCUAAACCCUGACAUCAGUUUAAAUAAAUCAUUAAUCAUUAUCUUUUUCCUGAAGGCAUGUUUGACUUGUCCUUGGUGUGUUCUGACUGUGUUGACAUGCAGUAUGAUGCUGAUGUAAUGAUAAGGUUGACCAGCAGGGGCACUGUAUUUAAGAAAGCUCAUGGAUGGCAAUGGGAGCACAUAAAAGAAGUCUGGCCUAUGGUGUUGUAUAAUAAAAUAUUUGGAGCAGUAGCUCACAA
Molecule: long non-coding RNA, 789 nt
Organism: Oreochromis niloticus (Nile tilapia)
Lineage: Eukaryota; Metazoa; Chordata; Actinopteri; Cichliformes; Cichlidae
Exons: 2
Source: RefSeq, a predicted model, not a curated record